UACGAAGGGGGCUAGCGUUGUUCGGAAUCACUGGGCGUAAGGGGCGCGUAGUCGGCUUUAUAAGUCGGGGGUGAAAGCCUGUGGCUCAACCACAGAAUUGCCUUCGAUACUGUAUGGCUUGAGACCGGAAGAGGUAAGUGGAACUGCGAGUGUAGAGGUGAAAUUCGUAGAUAUUCGCAAGAACACCAGUGGCGAAGGCGGCUUACUGGUCCGGUUCUGACGCUGAGGCGCGAAAGCGUGGGGGGCAAACAGG
RNAcentral lists this ribosomal RNA (253 nucleotides) under uncultured bacterium. RNAcentral describes it as "partial 16S ribosomal RNA". It matches the Rfam family "Bacterial small subunit ribosomal RNA", at positions 524 to 776 of the family's 1533-position model. The record is from RNAcentral.